This 732-nucleotide ribosomal RNA is filed under the name Ishizakiella miurensis. RNAcentral's name for it is "partial large subunit ribosomal RNA". It matches the Rfam family "Eukaryotic large subunit ribosomal RNA", at positions 1279 to 1936 of the family's 3401-position model. Lineage: Eukaryota; Metazoa; Arthropoda; Ostracoda; Podocopida; Leptocytheridae. The record is from RNAcentral.
UGUGUAACAACUCACCUGUCGAAGAAAGCAGCCCUGAAAAUGGAUGGCGCUCUAGCGUCCGGCCUAUACUCGACCGUUGAGGCAGAGCAGGUUUUUUUCAGUGCCCGUACGCUCUCAACGAGUAGGGGGGUGCAGGGGUGUGCAUGGAAGGGUUUCGAUGUGAAUCUACCUGGAGCCGCCCCUGGCACAGAUCUUGGUGGUAGUAGCAAAUACUUGAGUGAGAUCCUCAAGGACUGACGUGGAGAAGGGUUCCAUGUGAACAGCACUUGUACAUGGGUGAGUCGAUCCUAAGCCAUAGGCGAAAGCCGCCCCUAGACACGUCGGCCAUCGAAUCAUUUUUGGGGCCCGUCGGGGUCAGGCGAAAGGGAAUUCGGUACUUAUUCCGAAACCUAGCUGUGGGGGUUGUUGUGCCAUCUCCAUGUGUCACCUAGUCGUAAGACAAAAACCAACCUGGAGAAUCCGACCGAAGGGCCGGGAAGAGUUGUCUUUUCUGGUUAACGGGAUGGAUGACCUUGUGAAUCGGGUCGCUCGGAGAGAGGGUCUUAUCCCGAAAGAGCGCCGCGUUUCUUGCGGCGUCCGCGCUUCUUCGGUCAGGAACUUUAAAAUCCAGGGGGAGAAUCCACACCUUCACACUAGUUCGUACCCAUAUCCGCAUCUGGUCUCCGAGGUGAACAGCCUCUAGCCGAUAGAUUAAUGUAGGUAAGGGAAGUCGGCAAGUCAGAUCCGUAACUU